This 171-nucleotide ribosomal RNA is filed under the name uncultured Alphaproteobacteria bacterium. RNAcentral's name for it is "partial 16S ribosomal RNA". The record is from RNAcentral. Lineage: Bacteria; Pseudomonadati; Pseudomonadota; Alphaproteobacteria.
AUGGGAUUUGCGAUGGGCGACCCUGAUCAGCAUGCCGCGUGGGUGAUGAAGGCCCUCGGGUUGUAAACCUCUUUUGCCCGGGAAGAUAAUGACGGUACCUCUGGAAAAAGCCCCGGCUAACUCCCUGCCCCCACCCCCGGUAAUAUAACCUGCCCUAUACCACGGGAAUAA